Molecule: ribosomal RNA, 253 nt
Filed under: uncultured bacterium
Lineage: Bacteria
Description: partial 16S ribosomal RNA
Rfam family: Archaeal small subunit ribosomal RNA
Source: RNAcentral
UACCAGCACCCCGAGUGGUCGGGACGUUUAUUGGGCCUAAAGCAUCCGUAGCCGGUUCUACAAGUCUUCCGUUAAAUCCAACUGCUUAACAGGUGGGCUGCGGAAGAUACUAUAGAGCUAGGAGGCGGGAGAGGCAAGCGGUACUCGAUGGGUAGGGGUAAAAUCCGUUGAUCCAUCGAAGACCACCAGUGGCGAAGGCGGCUUGCCAGAACGCGCUCGACGGUGAGGGAUGAAAGCUGGGGGAGCAAACCGG